Molecule: ribosomal RNA, 2602 nt
Filed under: Escherichia coli
Lineage: Bacteria; Pseudomonadati; Pseudomonadota; Gammaproteobacteria; Enterobacterales; Enterobacteriaceae
Description: partial 23S ribosomal RNA
Rfam family: Bacterial large subunit ribosomal RNA
Source: RNAcentral
GGUUAAGCGACUAAGCGUACACGGUGGAUGCCCUGGCAGUCAGAGGCGAUGAAGGACGUGCUAAUCUGCGAUAAGCGUCGGUGAGGUGAUAUGAACCGUUAUAACCGGCGAUUUCCGAAUGGGGAAACCCAGUGUGUUUCGACACACUAUCAUUAACUGAAUCCAUAGGUUAAUGAGGCGAACCGGGGGAACUGAAACAUCUAAGUACCCCGAGGAAAAGAAAUCAACCGAGAUUCCCCCAGUAGCGGCGAGCGAACGGGGAGGAGCCCAGAGCCUGAAUCAGUGUGUGUGUUAGUGGAAGCGUCUGGAAAGGCGCGCGAUACAGGGUGACAGCCCCGUACACAAAAAUGCACAUAUUGUGAGCUCGAUGAGUAGGGCGGGACACGUGGUAUCCUGUCUGAAUAUGGGGGGACCAUCCUCCAAGGCUAAAUACUCCUGACUGACCGAUAGUGAACCAGUACCGUGAGGGAAAGGCGAAAAGAACCCCGGCGAGGGGAGUGAAAAAGAACCUGAAACCGUGUACGUACAAGCAGUGGGAGCCUCUUAAUGGGGUGACUGCGUACCUUUUGUAUAAUGGGUCAGCGACUUAUAUUCUGUAGCAAGGUUAACCGAAUAGGGGAGCCGAAGGGAAACCGAGUCUUAACUGGGCGUUAAGUUGCAGGGUAUAGACCCGAAACCCGGUGAUCUAGCCAUGGGCAGGUUGAAGGUUGGGUAACACUAACUGGAGGACCGAACCGACUAAUGUUGAAAAAUUAGCGGAUGACUUGUGGCUGGGGGUGAAAGGCCAAUCAAACCGGGAGAUAGCUGGUUCUCCCCGAAAGCUAUUUAGGUAGCGCCUCGUGAAUUCAUCUCCGGGGGUAGAGCACUGUUUCGGCAAGGGGGUCAUCCCGACUUACCAACCCGAUGCAAACUGCGAAUACCGGAGAAUGUUAUCACGGGAGACACACGGCGGGUGCUAACGUCCGUCGUGAAGAGGGAAACAACCCAGACCGCCAGCUAAGGUCCCAAAGUCAUGGUUAAGUGGGAAACGAUGUGGGAAGGCCCAGACAGCCAGGAUGUUGGCUUAGAAGCAGCCAUCAUUUAAAGAAAGCGUAAUAGCUCACUGGUCGAGUCGGCCUGCGCGGAAGAUGUAACGGGGCUAAACCAUGCACCGAAGCUGCGGCAGCGACACUAUGUGUUGUUGGGUAGGGGAGCGUUCUGUAAGCCUGUGAAGGUGUACUGUGAGGUAUGCUGGAGGUAUCAGAAGUGCGAAUGCUGACAUAAGUAACGAUAAAGCGGGUGAAAAGCCCGCUCGCCGGAAGACCAAGGGUUCCUGUCCAACGUUAAUCGGGGCAGGGUGAGUCGACCCCUAAGGCGAGGCCGAAAGGCGUAGUCGAUGGGAAACAGGUUAAUAUUCCUGUACUUGGUGUUACUGCGAAGGGGGGACGGAGAAGGCUAUGUUGGCCGGGCGACGGUUGUCCCGGUUUAAGCGUGUAGGCUGGUUUUCCAGGCAAAUCCGGAAAAUCAAGGCUGAGGCGUGAUGACGAGGCACUACGGUGCUGAAGCGACAAAUGCCCUGCUUCCAGGAAAAGCCUCUAAGCAUCAGGUAACAUCAAAUCGUACCCCAAACCGACACAGGUGGUCAGGUAGAGAAUACCAAGGCGCUUGAGAGAACUCGGGUGAAGGAACUAGGCAAAAUGGUGCCGUAACUUCGGGAGAAGGCACGCUGAUAUGUAGGUGAAGCGACUUGCUCGUGGAGCUGAAAUCAGUCGAAGAUACCAGCUGGCUGCAACUGUUUAUUAAAAACACAGCACUGUGCAAACACGAAAGUGGACGUAUACGGUGUGACGCCUGCCCGGUGCCGGAAGGUUAAUUGAUGGGGUUAGCGGUAACGCGAAGCUCUUGAUCGAAGCCCCGGUAAACGGCGGCCGUAACUAUAACGGUCCUAAGGUAGCGAAAUUCCUUGUCGGGUAAGUUCCGACCUGCACGAAUGGCGUAAUGAUGGCCAGGCUGUCUCCACCCGAGACUCAGUGAAAUUGAACUCGCUGUGAAGAUGCAGUGUACCCGCGGCAAGACGGAAAGACCCCGUGAACCUUUACUAUAGCUUGACACUGAACAUUGAGCCUUGAUGUGUAGGAUAGGUGGGAGGCUUUGAAGUGUGGACGCCAGUCUGCAUGGAGCCGACCUUGAAAUACCACCCUUUAAUGUUUGAUGUUCUAACGUGGGCCCCUUACCGGGGUUGCGGACAGUGUCUGGUGGGUAGUUUGACUGGGGCGGUCUCCUCCUAAAGAGUAACGGAGGAGCACGAAGGUUGGCUAAUCCUGGUCGGACAUCAGGAGGUUAGUGCAAUGGCAUAAGCCAGCUUGACUGCGAGCGUGACGGCGCGAGCAGGUGCGAAAGCAGGUCAUAGUGAUCCGGUGGUUCUGAAUGGAAGGGCCAUCGCUCAACGGAUAAAAGGUACUCCGGGGAUAACAGGCUGAUACCGCCCAAGAGUUCAUAUCGACGGCGGUGUUUGGCACCUCGAUGUCGGCUCAUCACAUCCUGGGGCUGAAGUAGGUCCCAAGGGUAUGGCUGUUCGCCAUUUAAAGUGGUACGCGAGCUGGGUUUAGAACGUCGUGAGACA